This 465-nucleotide ribosomal RNA is filed under the name uncultured bacterium. RNAcentral describes it as "bacterial SSU rRNA". It matches the Rfam family "Bacterial small subunit ribosomal RNA", at positions 338 to 795 of the family's 1533-position model. The record is from RNAcentral.
CCUACGGGGGGCUGCAGUAGGGAAUAUUGCGCAAUGGGCGAAAGCCUGACGCAGCCAUGCCGCGUGGAUGAUGAAGGCCUUCGGGUCGUAAAGUCCUUUUCUGAGGGAAGAACUGCCGGGGGAGGAAAUGCCCUUGGCUUGACGGUACCUCAGGAAUAAGCAACGGCUAACUCCGUGCCAGCAGCCGCGGUAAUACGGAGGUUGCAAGCGUUGUUCGGAAUGACUGGGCGUAAAGGGAGCGCAGGCGGCCAAGUCAGUCUGAAGUGAAAGCCCGGGGCUUAACCCCGGAAUAGCUUUGGAUACUGCCUGGCUUGAGUGUGCGAUAGGAAAGCGGAAUUCCAGGUGUAGCGGUGAAAUGCGUAGAUAUCUGGAGGAACACCGGUGGCGAAAGCGGCUUUCUGGCGCAUAACUGACGCUGAGGCUCGAAAGCGUGGGGAGCGAACGGGAUUAGAUACCCCAGUAGUC